CCUACGGGAGGCAGCAGUGGGGAAUAUUGGACAAUGGGCGAAAGCCUGAUCCAGCAAUGCCGCGUGAGUGAUGAAGGCCUUAGGGUUGUAAAGCUCUUUUACCCGGGAUGAUAAUGACAGUACCGGGAGAAUAAGCUCCGGCUAACUCCGUGCCAGCAGCCGCGGUAAUACGGAGGGAGCUAGCGUUGUUCGGAAUUACUGGGCGUAAAGCGCACGUAGGCGGCUACUCAAGUCAGAGGUGAAAGCCCAGGGCUCAACCCUGGAACUGCCUUUGAAACUAGGUAGCUAGAAUCUUGGAGAGGUCAGGGGAAUUCCGAGUGUAGAGGUGAAAUUCGUAGAUAUUCGGAAGAACACCAGUGGCGAAGGCGACUGACUGGACAAGUAUUGACGCUGAGGUGCGAAAGCGUGGGGAGCAAGCAGGAUUAGAUACCCUGGUAGUCCACGCCGUAAACGAUGAUAACUAACUGUUCGGGUACUUGGUACCUGAGUGGCGCAGCUACGACAUUAAGUUAUUCCGUCCGUCGGGUAGGUACGGUCGGCGAAGAAUUAAAACUUAAAAGGUAAAGUUAGUACGGCGUGAGACGUGCCGACGACGACGACGAGGGAGUAGG
This 611-nucleotide ribosomal RNA is filed under the name uncultured bacterium. RNAcentral describes it as "bacterial SSU rRNA". The stretch from base 1 to 519 matches the Rfam family "Bacterial small subunit ribosomal RNA", at positions 338 to 873 of the family's 1533-position model. The record is from RNAcentral.